CUGCAGCCCGAGUGGUGUUCGAUUUUAUUGAGCCUAAAGCGUCCGUAGCCGGACUAGUAAACCCUUGGGUAAAUUGGGCAGCUUAACUGUCCAAAUUCCGAGGGGACUGCUAGUCUUGGGACCGGGAGAGGUCAGAGGUACUCAAGGGGUAGGGGCUAAAUCCUGUAAUCCUUUGGGGACCACCAGUGGCGAAGGCGUCUGACUAGAACGGAUCCGACGGUAAGGGACGAAACCCUGGGGCGCGAACCGGAUUAGAUACCCGAGUAGUCC
RNAcentral lists this ribosomal RNA (270 nucleotides) under uncultured archaeon. RNAcentral's name for it is "partial 16S ribosomal RNA". It matches the Rfam family "Archaeal small subunit ribosomal RNA", at positions 477 to 747 of the family's 1478-position model. The record is from RNAcentral.